CCUUUGAUAGCUCAGUUGGUAGUGCAGCGGCCUGUAGAUUCUUAGGUUGCUAGGUCGAAUCUGGCUCGAAGGA
This 73-nucleotide transfer RNA is filed under the name Scleropages formosus (Asian bonytongue). RNAcentral describes it as "tRNA-Tyr". It matches the Rfam family "tRNA". Rfam says of the family: Transfer RNA (tRNA) molecules are approximately 80 nucleotides in length. Their secondary structure includes four short double-helical elements and three loops (D, anti-codon, and T loops). Lineage: Eukaryota; Metazoa; Chordata; Actinopteri; Osteoglossiformes; Osteoglossidae. The record is from RNAcentral.